RNAcentral lists this transfer RNA (73 nucleotides) under Actinomycetota bacterium. Its description in RNAcentral is "tRNA-Gly". It matches the Rfam family "tRNA". Rfam says of the family: Transfer RNA (tRNA) molecules are approximately 80 nucleotides in length. Their secondary structure includes four short double-helical elements and three loops (D, anti-codon, and T loops). The record is from RNAcentral. Lineage: Bacteria; Bacillati; Actinomycetota.
GCGGACGUAGCUCAGUUGGUAGAGCGUCGGCUUCCCAAGCCGAAGGUCAUGGGUUCGAGCCCCGUCGUCCGCU